AAGAAGAAAACCUAACCUACACUUUUAUCUCAUUCAUUUUUUUUAAGCUUAAACUCUCUCUCUCGGCGCCGCUCAAUGUUCAUCGUCUCUUUCAGAGACUCUCCGAACCACGCCCCAAACUCCGAUGAUGUCGGAGAAAGAGCAACAGAUCCGGUCACGAGGUACGGAGACCAGCUAGCGUACAGAGGUAGCGGACGUGGCGCCUGGCACAUGGGGAGAAGCAUGUGUGGCAGCAGAGGCUCGGCGCGCGUGCGAGGGCUUGGCUGCCGCGCCUAGAUCUUCUAGGUUUCCAUGUGUUGUUUAGUAUUUUGGGCUCAUUUAGGGUUUGGGUAGAAUUAGGUGUUGGACCUUAAUUGUUUGGGCUAAUUUUUGGACUGAUGUUUAGUGGGUUUGAGGCUUAAUGUAAUCCGGGCUUGGAUUUAAAUUUGUAAUACUGGACUGUAUUAGACUCUUAUUAUAUUUAUUAUUUUUUGGUUUUUUUUUGCUUAUUCUGAAUGGCCCCCUGGGAAAUUGGGCCUAUUACAGCUAAAAUUAGAAAAUAGAAAUUUCCGGGAAGGUCCAUUAUAUUUGUAGGAAGAUCUUGUUAAAUCAUAAAUACAAGUGGCUGCUUAACUUCAUGGAA
Molecule: long non-coding RNA, 622 nt
Organism: Gossypium raimondii (Peruvian cotton)
Lineage: Eukaryota; Viridiplantae; Streptophyta; Magnoliopsida; Malvales; Malvaceae
Exons: 2
Source: RefSeq, a predicted model, not a curated record